RNAcentral lists this ribosomal RNA (480 nucleotides) under uncultured bacterium. RNAcentral's name for it is "partial 16S ribosomal RNA". It matches the Rfam family "Bacterial small subunit ribosomal RNA", at positions 28 to 507 of the family's 1533-position model. The record is from RNAcentral.
GACGAACGCUGGCGGCGUGCUUAACACAUGCAAGUCGAACGAUGAAGAAAAGAAUCGAAGCUUCGGCAGAAAUUCAUUUCGGAUUAGUGGCAGACGGGUGAGUAACGCGUGAGCAACCUACCUCUUACAAAGGGAUAGCCUCGGGAAACCGGGAUUAAUACCAUAUAACAUUGCGACGAAGCAUUUCGAUGCAAUCAAAGCUACGGCGGGAAGAGAUGGGCUCGCGUCGCAUUAACCGGGUGGUGAGGUAACGGCUCACCAUAGUGACGAUGGGUAACCGGGCGGAGAGGGUGCCCGGUCACGCUGGAGCUGCGGCCCGGUCCCGUAUCCUACGGGACGCAGCAGUGGGGAAUAUUGCACGAUGGAGCGAACUCUGAUGCAGCGGCGCCGCGUGAGUGAUGAAGGGAUUCGUUUCGUAAAUCUCUGUUCUAUGGGAAGAAAAUGACUGUACCAUAGGAGAAAGCUCCGGCUAACUACGUG